Molecule: ribosomal RNA, 465 nt
Filed under: uncultured Klebsiella sp.
Lineage: Bacteria; Pseudomonadati; Pseudomonadota; Gammaproteobacteria; Enterobacterales; Enterobacteriaceae
Description: bacterial SSU rRNA
Rfam family: Bacterial small subunit ribosomal RNA
Source: RNAcentral
CCUACGGGAGGCUGCAGUGGGGAAUAUUGCACAAUGGGCGCAAGCCUGAUGCAGCCAUGCCGCGUGUGUGAAGAAGGCCUUCGGGUUGUAAAGCACUUUCAGCGGGGAGGAAGGCGGUGAGGUUAAUAACCUCAUCGAUUGACGUUACCCGCAGAAGAAGCACCGGCUAACUCCGUGCCAGCAGCCGCGGUAAUACGGAGGGUGCAAGCGUUAAUCGGAAUUACUGGGCGUAAAGCGCACGCAGGCGGUCUGUCAAGUCGGAUGUGAAAUCCCCGGGCUCAACCUGGGAACUGCAUUCGAAACUGGCAGGCUAGAGUCUUGUAGAGGGGGGUAGAAUUCCAGGUGUAGCGGUGAAAUGCGUAGAGAUCUGGAGGAAUACCGGUGGCGAAGGCGGCCCCCUGGACAAAGACUGACGCUCAGGUGCGAAAGCGCGGGGAGCAAACAGGAUUAGAUACCCGUGUAGUC